GAUGAACGCUGGCGGCGUGCCUAAUACAUGCAAGUCGAGCGAACAGACGAGGAGCUUGCUCCUCUGACGUUAGCGGCGGACGGGUGAGUAACACGUGGAUAACCUACCUAUAAGACUGGGAUAACUUCGGGAAACCGGAGCUAAUACCGGAUAAUAUAUUGAACCGCAUGGUUCAAUAGUGAAAGACGGUUUUGCUGUCACUUAUAGAUGGGUCCGCGCCGCGUUAGCUAGUUGGUAAGGUAACGGCUUACCAAGGCAACGAUGCGUAGCCGACCUGAGAGGGUGAUCGGCCACACUGGAACUGAGACACGGUCCAGACUCCUACGGGAGGCAGCAGUAGGGAAUCUUCCGCAAUGGGCGAAAGCCUGACGGAGCAACGCCGCGUGAGUGAUGAAGGUCUUCGGAUCGUAAAACUCUGUUAUUAGGGAAGAACAAAUGUGUAAGUAACUAUGCACGUCUUGACGGUACCUAAUCAGAAAGCCACGGCUAACUACGUG
RNAcentral lists this ribosomal RNA (497 nucleotides) under uncultured bacterium. Its description in RNAcentral is "partial 16S ribosomal RNA". It matches the Rfam family "Bacterial small subunit ribosomal RNA", at positions 28 to 507 of the family's 1533-position model. The record is from RNAcentral.